RNAcentral lists this long non-coding RNA (408 nucleotides) under Sorghum bicolor (sorghum). Its description in RNAcentral is "long non-coding RNA (SBIC_LNC011126)". Lineage: Eukaryota; Viridiplantae; Streptophyta; Magnoliopsida; Poales; Poaceae. The record is from RNAcentral.
GAGGAUACAGGAGAGAUGGGGAUACAGAAGUUUUGUUUCAUAGCGUUGGGCCAAGUGGGCCGGUAGGAGCUAAUAUUUUUUUUGUUUUUCUUGUAUACACUAAUACACAUAUGUAUAAAUAUUAUAUAUAUAAUUUUUUUGCCAAAACUUUUGGGUAUUCAACUGAAUACCAAUGCAUACAAUUGUGCCCGCCACUGAGGGCGAACGGGCGUAGAGAAAUCGCGCGGGGUGGGAGGAGCCGGGGGGAUGGAGUCCGACGUGGAAGACCGAAAUUGUAGAUGCAAAGUGGUGGAAAGAUUUGUAUAUAUGCAAAGCCUCAACCUCUAUUUGCAAAGCUAACCAAAUUGCAAACCUUAUUUGCAAAACCAUUGGAGGGGUAUUUUCUACUCUUUUUUGCAAACUAGGUAG